GGAGGGAUAGCUCAGUGGUAGAAUGUAUGCUUAGCAUGCAUGAGGUCCAGGGUUCAAUCCCCCGUGCCACCU
This 72-nucleotide transfer RNA is filed under the name Camelus bactrianus (Bactrian camel). It matches the Rfam family "tRNA". Rfam says of the family: Transfer RNA (tRNA) molecules are approximately 80 nucleotides in length. Their secondary structure includes four short double-helical elements and three loops (D, anti-codon, and T loops). Lineage: Eukaryota; Metazoa; Chordata; Mammalia; Artiodactyla; Camelidae. The record is from Rfam by way of RNAcentral. RNAcentral also lists the same sequence under 1 other name.